Molecule: non-coding RNA, 1347 nt
Organism: Meleagris gallopavo (turkey)
Lineage: Eukaryota; Metazoa; Chordata; Aves; Galliformes; Phasianidae
Source: RefSeq, a predicted model, not a curated record
GGCCCGCGUCGGUCCCUCCCCUCCCUCCGCUUCUCGGCCGGCGGCGUGGGCAGGGCGCUGGGCUGGCUGCGAGCUUCGGGGCUUCUCUGCGACCCUGCCCGUGCGAGGAGCCGCGUGAGGAGGCGGAGAGGAAAGCAGACAGAUGGUUCUGAGUGCCCCAUGGCUGCAGCUACAUCAGUUCAUUCAUUUUUUGCCUGUUGUCACUUGGAAGCAUUCUUCAGGUAAGAAAGCUGCUUCAAAGUACUCCAUGUGGUUUAUAAGCUUACACUUAAUUAACUUCUGCAUAAAAUCUUUAAAUUGCAUUCAGUGUUUUGUUCUCUCAGUUGUCAUUUGUGUUCUGUUCACACAUGUCAUUAUGAAUCUAUCUUUUGUGUUAGACACUGAAAGCACUUCUGCAAAUGAAUGUGAUUUGUAUGUGCCAUGAGGAGUUAGGAGGCACAUGGUUUGCAGGGUACAUGCAGUACUUGUAGAUCCUUUGUGCAACACAAGGCCACCAUAAAUUACAAAAUUUUCCAGGUGUGCCAUCUGCACACACUUCUGUAAAGGCAAAUCAACUCUAAUUACAAACAUGAUUAUACAGGCCUUGAAUUUUCUUCUGUGAGUGAGCUGAGCAACGUUAUUUGCAAGGUGUUGAGUGUUCGAGUUUGGUUUUGCUUAAGAGUAAAGGGGCUGCUGCUCUGUUGUGUUUGUAUCUAAAACAUGUGCUGUGUCUGCUUUAAACUAUAAGGCUGAUAUUAACUGCAGUUUUUAAAAGAUGAUGAUAUGACUUGGGACUCAGGAGAAUCGAAAGCCUGAUGUCUCUGAUUUUUAAAAUAAUUAUUAGAAAGUUUAGCAAUGAAAAUCUAUAGAAAUCUUAUUUUUAGUUGAAGAGACAACUCUGAAAGCAUCCUAACAUAAUACCGUUCAAUUUUUAAAUCUGUGUUUUCAUUUCGAUCCUAUCGUAGUUUAGUCAGGUGGGUGUAGCUGUUCCUACAACUUUCCAUUGAAACUUCUUCAAAUACUAUCCAAUGGGUAACUGAUUUUGGAGGUUUUGGGUAUACCUUCUAACAGCAGACCAAGAUACUCUUUCAUACUAUUAUUCAAGAGUAUCUCUUUCAUAUUAGCAGAUGGAAGCAUAUUCAUUCAUACAUCAGUGUCUUUUUCUUCACAUGGAGUUUAAUUAGCCGAAGUAGUUUUACUGUCAUGUUUAUAGUGAUGCAGUAAGCACACUUUUAGUUUAAAAUGCUAUUCAGUUGUACCACAAAAGUCCUUACAUUUUACAAUACUAGGAAUUAUAUCUUUAAUUAUUGUACACAGCGAGCAGAAAGAAAGACAACAGUACUUAUUAUCUAGGUGCAUAACUUCCUA